GAUGAACGCUGGCGGCGUGCCUAAUACAUACCAGUCGAGCGAACAGACGAGGAGCUUGCUCCUCUGACGUUAGCGGCGGACGGGUGAGUAACACGUGGAUAACCUACCUAUAAGACUGGGAUAACUUCGGGAAACCGGAGCUAAUACCGGAUAAUAUAUUGAACCGCAUGGUUCAAUAGUGAAAGACGGUUUUGCUGUCACUUAUAGAUGGAUCCGCGCCGCAUUAGCUAGUUGGUAAGGUAACGGCUUACCAAGGCAACGAUGCGUAGCCGACCUGAGAGGGUGAUCGGCCACACUGGAACUGAGACACGGUCCAGACUCCUACGGGAGGCAGCAGUAGGGAAUCUUCCGCAAUGGGCGAAAGCUUGACGGAGCAACGCCGCGUGAGUGAUGAAGGUCUUCGGAUCGUAAAACUCUGUUAUUAGGGAAGAACAAAUGUGUAAGUAACUAUGCACGUCUUGACGGUACCUAAUCAGAAAGCCACGGCUAACUACGUG
RNAcentral lists this ribosomal RNA (497 nucleotides) under uncultured bacterium. RNAcentral's name for it is "partial 16S ribosomal RNA". It matches the Rfam family "Bacterial small subunit ribosomal RNA", at positions 28 to 507 of the family's 1533-position model. The record is from RNAcentral.